GAAUUCAACUCCUACGGGAGGCAGCAGUGGGGAAUCUUGCGCAAUGGGCGAAAGCCUGACGCAGCCAUGCCGCGUGAAUGAUGAAGGUCUUAGGAUUGUAAAAUUCUUUCACCGGGGACGAUAAUGACGGUACCCGGAGAAGAAGCCCCGGCUAACUUCGUGCCAGCAGCCGCGGUAAUACGAAGGGGGCUAGCGUUGCUCGGAAUUACUGGGCGUAAAGGGCGCGUAGGCGGACAUUUAAGUCAGGGGUGAAAUCCCAGAGCUCAACUCUGGAACUGCCUUUGAUACUGGGUGUCUUGAGUGUGAGAGAGGUAUGUGGAACUCCGAGUGUAGAGGUGAAAUUCGUAGAUAUUCGGAAGAACACCAGUGGCGAAGGCGACAUACUGGCUCAUUACUGACGCUGAGGCGCGAAAGCGUGGGGAGCAAACAGGAUUAGAUACCCGAGUAGUCCAGGCGUU
RNAcentral lists this ribosomal RNA (458 nucleotides) under uncultured bacterium. RNAcentral describes it as "bacterial SSU rRNA". It matches the Rfam family "Bacterial small subunit ribosomal RNA", at positions 328 to 803 of the family's 1533-position model. The record is from RNAcentral.